UAGCGUAGGGUGCGAGCGUUAAUCGGAAUUACUGGGCGUAAAGCGUGCGCAGGCGGUGAUGUAAGACAGGUGUGGAAAUCCCCGGGCUUAACCUGGGAACUGCAUUUGUGACUGCAUCGCUGGAGUGCGGCAGAGGGGGAUGGAAUUCCGCGUGUAGCAGUGAAAUGCGUAGAUAUGCGGAGGAACACCGAUGGCGAAGGCAAUCCCCUGGGCCUGCACUGACGCUCAUGCACGAAAGCGUGGGGAGCAAACAGG
This 255-nucleotide ribosomal RNA is filed under the name uncultured bacterium. RNAcentral describes it as "partial 16S ribosomal RNA". It matches the Rfam family "Bacterial small subunit ribosomal RNA", at positions 523 to 776 of the family's 1533-position model. The record is from RNAcentral.